GAUGAACGCUGGCGGCAUGCCUAACACAUGCAAGUCGAACGAGACCUUCGGGUCUAGUGGCGCACGGGUGCGUAACGCGUGGGAAUCUGCCCUUUGCUACGGAAUAACUCGAGGAAACUCGUGCUAAUACCGUAUGAUGUCGCAAGACCAAAGAUUUAUCGGCAAGGGAUGAGCCCGCGCAGGAUUAGCUAGUUGGUGAGGUAAAGGCUCACCAAGGCGACGAUCCUUAGCUGGUCUGAGAGGGAUGAUCAGCCACACUGGGACUGAGACACGGCCCAGACUCCUACGGGAGGCAGCAGUGGGGAAUAUUGGACAAUGGGCGAAAGCCUGAUCCAGCAAUGCCGCGUGAGUGA
RNAcentral lists this ribosomal RNA (353 nucleotides) under uncultured bacterium. RNAcentral's name for it is "bacterial SSU rRNA". It matches the Rfam family "Bacterial small subunit ribosomal RNA", at positions 28 to 408 of the family's 1533-position model. The record is from RNAcentral.